UCCUACGGGAGGCAGCAGUGGGGAAUAUUGCACAAUGGGCGCAAGCCUGAUGCAGCGACGCCGCGUGCGGGAUGACGGCCUUCGGGUUGUAAACCGCUUUUGACUGGGAGCAAGCCCUUCGGGGUGAGUGUACCUUUCGAAUAAGCACCGGCUAACUACGUGCCAGCAGCCGCGGUAAUACGUAGGGUGCAAGCGUUAUCCGGAAUUAUUGGGCGUAAAGGGCUCGUAGGCGGUUCGUCGCGUCCGGUGUGAAAGUCCAUCGCUUAACGGUGGAUCCGCGCCGGGUACGGGCGGGCUUGAGUGCGGUAGGGGAGACUGGAAUUCCCGGUGUAACGGUGGAAUGUGUAGAUAUCGGGAAGAACACCAAUGGCGAAGGCAGGUCUCUGGGCCGUCACUGACGCUGAGGAGCGAAAGCGUGGGGAGCGAACAGGAUUAGAUACCCUGGUAGUCCACGCCGUAAACGGUGGAUGCUGGAUGUGGGGACCAUUCCACGGUCUCCGUGUCGGAGCCAACGCGUUAAGCAUCCCGCCUGGGGAGUACGGCCGCAAGGCUAAAACUCAAAGAAAUUGACGGGGGCCCGCACAAGCGGCGGAGCAUGCGGAUUAAUUCGAUGCAACGCGAAGAACCUUACCUGGGCUUGACAUGUUCCCGACAGCCCCAGAGAUGGGGCCUCCCUUCGGGGCGGGUUCACAGGUGGUGCAUGGUCGUCGUCAGCUCGUGUCGUGAGAUGUUGGGUUAAGUCCCGCAACGAGCGCAACCCCGCUCCUGUGUUGCCAGCACGUCGUGGUGGGAACUCAGGGG
Molecule: ribosomal RNA, 801 nt
Filed under: human gut metagenome
Description: bacterial SSU rRNA
Rfam family: Bacterial small subunit ribosomal RNA
Source: RNAcentral